AAAUAUGUUACUUCCGGUACUGUCUUAUAGUUUACUUGACGCUGAUUCCAAAAAUAUAUGGUUUUACAUACUUUUACAAUAAUUUAUUACAAAAAUUAGCUACUUCCGGUUUACAAAAGGUCACUUCCGGUUAGCUUUUUCAACGUCAUACUGCUUGCAACCUAAUGCAAAAAGUCUAAUAGCUUUAACAUGAAUACAUAUGAGGUAAAAGCAAAGGUCAAAAUCUAGAACGUUAAAUUAACAUAUGACCUUGAGCUCAAUUUCAAGGUCAUGAACCAAGGACCUCAAAUCAAAAGACUCUAGGUCUUUACUUUAUAUUGUUAAUGAGUUAUAUUACCAUACGUAUGAUAUCAGAUAUAAAAAGGGGGAAAACUCGCGUCAAAUGUCUACGUACCCUUUCGACUAAAAUUUAUGUGUUACGACAUGUCGUAACUAACAAUUGUGUGAAAAUAUUUUGUCGAUAUCUUAUAUGAUUUCUGAAAAUAAGAGAUAACAAGCCAAAAUCAAAAUUUUAAUCAUGACCUUGACCUUUGACCUUGACCUCAUUUUCAUUUUUUUGGACCAAGGACCUCAAAUCAAAAGACCCUAGGCCUCUACCACUUAUGGUUUUCCAGUUAAAAAUGCAUAUCACUUAUAUCAAAUAUAAAAGGGGAAAUAACUCUCAUAUGGAGUCUCCGGAUAGCUUCGGUCGAAAUAAAUCAAAUCAUCCUGAGGAUGUAACGAGCAAUUUGGUAAAAUAAAUUUGUCGGUUUCUUAUACGGUUGCGAAUAUUAAGUGAUCACAAGAAAAACAGUGUUCGGGGAGAUAACUCUUAUAUGGGAAAGAUUUUGGUUACGCGGUGUCAGUUACAAAAGCGUAAUAACUGUUCGAUAUCAUAUACCAUAUGUCUAAGCGACAUCUUGCGAAACAAAAAAAUUGCGAAGGAACAAAAAGUUGGCGGAAGAAAAAAAAUAAUAAUAAUAAUAAUCAGAAGAAAACCAAUAGGUCUUUCCACGGAAAAGUGGAAAGACCUAAUAAUCAGAAGAAAACCAAUAGGUCUUUCCACGGAAAAGUGGAAAGACCUAAUAA
RNAcentral lists this long non-coding RNA (1068 nucleotides) under Mytilus galloprovincialis (Mediterranean mussel). Lineage: Eukaryota; Metazoa; Mollusca; Bivalvia; Mytilida; Mytilidae. The record is from RNAcentral.